Long non-coding RNA from Drosophila teissieri, 589 nucleotides. RefSeq lists it as uncharacterized. The record is from RefSeq and is a predicted model, not a curated record. NCBI's taxonomy places the organism in Eukaryota, Metazoa, Arthropoda, Insecta, Diptera, Drosophilidae. The transcript has 6 exons.
GCCUUCUUUCUAUCCGAAUUUCCUUUGGUUAAGGUCGUCGGCGCGCAUUAAAUUAUUAAAACUAAAAUAAAAUGGAACCAAUUACUCUAAUAUUUAAUGUAUGCAAUGCUCAGUAUACGGGCUUGUAUCUUGUAAAAAUGUAUACUCUGAUCAACAUAAUAAAAUGAUACACAUAAAGGACUAACAUGGCAAUUUGAAUAGAACACCAUAUCCACGUGGUGCUAUGUGAGACACCUGGAGACACUUAGAAAUAUUCUAAGGCAUUGAAAGCAGCUUGGGAUGAAACUAGUCAUUCCCUUUAUCCCCUAAAAGGCAUUUUACUAGGCCAAGGAAUACCUAUUUGAAACUGAAACUUGACUGAACCAGUUAAAAGCAAAUCUAAAUUGAUGAUAUUUUCACAAGAUCUACAAGUGAUUCGUUGGGAACAACCAAAAAGCAAAUCUAAAUUGAUGAUAUUUUCACAAGAUCUACAAGUGAUUCGUUGGGAACAACCAAAAAGGUGUUCUACCAGGGAAAGUACUUUUUUAUAUAUAAAAUAAAUUCUUUAUUUAUGUGUACAAAAUAAAAUAUUUCAACUGUCUAAAUUAAA